This 20299-nucleotide long non-coding RNA is filed under the name Daucus carota (carrot). RNAcentral's name for it is "long non-coding RNA (DCAR_LNC002779)". Lineage: Eukaryota; Viridiplantae; Streptophyta; Magnoliopsida; Apiales; Apiaceae. The record is from RNAcentral.
CUUUUGGUACAAGUCCUGGUUCUUUUGAUUUUAGUGGUUUAUUCAGGGCUCCAAGAAAUGAUGAUAGGAAGGAAGUGAAUGGGUAUGUUAAAGGAUCAGUGACGUACAUGAUAUCAGAUGACCUGACAGUGAAGCCCAAGCCAGGCAUUUCUUGUGUAAGGUUUCUUAAGAGCUUAGGUGUCAAAGACAUGGAUACCGUGGAAGAAAAAAUUGUGAAGAUCGACGCCAAGAAGGUCUCCCUGAUUUCAACAUCCAAUUUACAAUGUCUCCGCAACAAUAUUAGAAUCCAGAUUUAAAGUUUACAUCAACAUUCAUAUGAUUAAUCUCUUUAGCAUAUCUAAUAUCAAAAGUAUAUGGUUUAGUAUAUGGUUCUUAACUCUUAUAAUAACAUUUUUCCUCAUCCUGAGACUGAGAUGUUCUCAGUAUUAGGCUCUGUUCUUGUCUAACUAUUUCUUCACAUAUUGGCCGAUUUCAGGCUUUGCAGUUGGUGAAGACUUCCUUUGAAUCCAGUACUGUUCUCACGGACGUAUUUGUUGGAAAGACGGGGAAGAAAUGUGAUACUGAUGAGUGAUGAGUGCUUCCAACUCCACAAAGAAUGUAUGUCCUAGUUAAAACUUUGUUUCUUCUAGUACCCCCUCCCCGCUCCUCCUAAAACUUUUGUCGAAGAGAACGUUUACUAUCUGCAUGUAUUUUGAUUGUUAAAUAAAAAACUGCAGUGUUGCGUGUUCUUUUGUUUUAGCAUAAUGUUCCGCACCAGACACUACUACAAAUGAUGUUUCCAGAACGUUAUUUAAAGAAUUAAUGUUUGGCAUUCGAAUUCUUAAGUAUGCAACACUACAACUCGAUGAACAAAACUACCAUAGCAGUAACUACAUUUGUCCGAUGGAGUAAAAUCAGUUAUUUGCAGGCUUUAUUUUGUUUUGUUUGAAGAACUCGAUAAAUUGUUGUAAAGAUGAGUGAUGUUGUCAAGGCAGUUCUGCAUGUGAUAAGGUAACAGAGGCAAUCGCUAAUCUAGAGCUGCAUUUGAUGUUGCGUACCCAAAAUAAGGCCAUCAAGAGAAACACUUCAUAGAAAUUGUUAUUUUGAAUAAACGGAACCGUGUUUGGCUAACUAAACGAGCCUAACUCCACGAUAACACGAUAUUAUCCGCUUUGGGUCUAGCCCGCACGACAUUAUUUUUGGACACCUCCCAAAAGGUUUCAUACUAACUAUUGGAGUUGUUUUGACUUAAAUUCUAAUUUUAUGUCUCUCGCACAAACAAUGUGGGACAACUCCUAACAUUUCGAACCUCCAAGACCGGAAAAUUAAAAGAAACGUGUUAGAGUUCUCAACUUUAUUUUCAAAAUCUUAGUUAAUGAUUUUUAAUAGAUUUCACUCGCUCUAAUAAUAAUAGUUACUAGUACUACCAUAUUAACAAUAAUGAUUUCCGUGUUCCUCACCCUUAAUUUGCGCCAUCAAUCAUCGAAUUCUACCAAGAAUGAUGAUAGUACAGUCAUGAAUAAAUUAUAUGAGGCCAAACUAGCAAUAAAUAGCAAAAGAACAAGAACCAGCGCAAUACUAAACGUCCGCAACAAACUCUUUUUACACGUAUGGUAACAGUGACAGAGUUAACAUGCAUUACCCCUGUUUUCUCCAAAUUUCAGAAACAUCCCUUAAUAACAAAAUUUUAACAAUUUAACCACAUUCAUUACCUAACUAGCGCUCCAACUUCUGAAAAAAAAGCUUACUACCAAAGUGCAGCCCGGCCAGUUCUUUUCUCAACUUCUACGGUCUCAACUUGUUCCAUCAUUUUCCUCAGCCAUCUCUCAUCCGCGUCUCUCAGGAACUUGAACCUAGAAGGCGGUGAAGAUCUCAACGUACUAAUCCCUUCAUGAGACGACUCAACUCUCGAGUUUGGCGAAGCCAAAGGAGAAAGAUCAAGAAAAUCAUUCAAACACUUAUCUUCCAACUCCUCCUUAGUUUCUUCCUUGAUUGUGAAGAGAAAUCUUGGCGGCCCAUUAAGAUUGUGCAGCCUCAUAAGCUCUGUAUCAACACCCCCUUCACCGCAACAAUUUUUCAGAUCCUGCGUGUUCUUUUCAUCGUCUCCGCCUACUUCUAAAUCCUGUUCAUGCAAACAGCUGACCUUCACAGGAGAAGGGUGUUUUUUCGACCUUGAUAGAUAAUACAGCUUUGCUGCAAGUCCUAAGAGGAGGGUGGCACACAAGAAACUCAAGCUAAUGACGAGACCAAGAGAGAUAACCAUUUUUGCAAUUAAAAUUGACGUUAUUCAGAGGAAUGUCUCGAGUUUAAUAGCUGGGCAGAAUCACAUACACGAUGAAUUUGUGAUUCCUUUCAGAAUAAGGAAUUUUUUUUAUAUUGUUGUAAGCGCUUUUUAACGUGCAAGAAAAAAGGUUCUAUUUUUUGAACGCAGAAAAAAGGUUCUAUUGUUCGGAAUAUUUUGUCCAAACACAUCUAUAAUGAAAUAUAAUUUAUUUUCUCAUUAAUAAUAUUUUAUAUUUUCAUUUAAUUAAUUAAAAUUUACAAUCAAUCAAUCAUCAAUAUUCAAUAUAUCAAUAUAAAGGAGAAGCGAGGAACGUGUAUGUGGCGCCUCUCACAUCGCUUCGUUCUAUUUUUCAAAUUUUUUGGAAUUUUUGAAUGGAAUUUAUAGAAUAUAGUAGCUUGAAAAUUUUAAUCUGAUUUUGUUUCAGAUUAUUUAAUUAUGGGAAAUUGUAGCACACAAGUCUCUCUACACCUAUAAAUACCCCUAUAGAUUGUAGGAUUUUGAAUCAUCUAAACACAACUUUAUAAAUACCCCUAUAUAUGUUAAUUACGUGUAUAAAUUUAUUUUCAUUUUUUCAUCAUGAAUUAUAGUCCAGUUUUGCAAUUUUAUAUAUUAUUAUUGGUAUUGCAUCAAGACUUUAAUAAUGUAAAAUUUAUUUUAUUUUACAAAUAUUAAUUUUGAAUCAUUAAUAUACUUUUUAUAGACAGCCACAAAAUUAUUUUAUUCUACAAAUAUUAAUAUUAAAUCAUUAAUAUAAUUUUUUAUAGGCCGCCGCAACGCGCGGAUUUUCAACUAGUUGGAUUAAAAUGAUCAAAACUUUUAUAUUUCGAUUCUAAUUAUAUAAUAUAUUAGUUAAAUUCAUAACAUACUCGGUCACUCUUUUGAUAAAAAAUUCCAUUCCACCUGUUAUUUUACGUUUUAUUCAAUAUUUUAUAGUGUCAUCUACUUUUUGUAGUUUAUUUGGCUUUUUGGGCUUGGACAAUAAAUCUUUUCGACCCAUGUGGCAUGCAUAAUAUACAUACACCACGUACGGCAAUCGAAAAGAGAAUGAAAUAUAAGAAAAUAUGAAUACAUGAACCAUGACGAUGAAAGCUUAAAUUUAAAGCUGUUUCCGAUGUGCCCCUUUGUAUCAGAUUUCCUAUAUGAUUCUCAGUCCUAUAUACUUUCUGCUUGCUAAUUAAACGCACUACUAUUUGUUCGGACGACAGCAUUUAGUGAAGCUAAAUCAAUUCUUGUUGACGACAACUGUGUAAAUAAUAACAUGAUAUAGUUACGACAGACAUAUUCAAUUGAAAUCUUUGAAGAUUUCUUUGUUUAUUAAUCCAACAGAUUUUAAAAAAUUUAUUUGGGUUACUCGGUCAAGAUUAUAAAUAUUACAAAAAUUUGAUGAUAAUCAGUUAGAUUUUGAGUUAUUCUUCAAAAUCCGGUAAUAUUUGAUAAAAAAAAUUCAAUACAUUAAAUUUUGAUGAUAUUCGAACGCUGACAAAAUAUUUUGGACUUCAUAAAUAAUGACUUUUGUGAAUUAUUCAGUGUUUUUAUACAUUUUGAAGUCCCACCAUAAUGCAUGAAUUUUUUAAAAUGCUAUUUAAAUCCUAAUAACUCUGCAUCAAUUCUACUACAUUUUAUAUAACAUCCGCAAUGUUUUGCAUAUUAAAAUCACAUAUGAUUUAUCACUAAUUCAUAUAUUUAUUAUUAAUUGAUUAAAGGAAAAAGUUCAUAAAUAUGGCAUCCAAUUCAAUCAUUAUAUUUUAUGCCCUAAUAGUUGUUUGUUGUUAAGUCAAUAUUUGUUAGUACAAUCGGUUCUAGUAUAACCAUCCUCAUGAUGAUGAGACUGGUAUUUCAAUAUUGGUUGGUACAAUUUCUCAACCUAAAACUUCCGAUUUCUACGUCAAUUUUUUAUGAUAUGAUUUUACUGGUUAUCAUUAACUCUGGGUGAUCAUUUUUUCGGAAAAAACUCUGGACGAUCAUAGUUAAGCUAGGGAUUGGUUAAACAACAUACAAUUUUUUGGACGAUCAUUCCGUAAAAAAAAUUCUGAAAUGAUCCAUAAAUCUGUUUUGGGUUCACAUCCCAAGCAUAUUUAGGCCAGGGACCGGUUAAACAACAUAUAAUUUUCUGGUCAUUGGAUAAAUAUUCAGCGACAAGAUUAUAGGAAAAUUUUUAAUACAUCCAGCAUUUUUAACCGCUGGAUGGGGAAAACGACCCCGUCCAACGGUUAAGCAUUGGACAUGCCUAAUCCAGCACUUAAAAAACGAUGUACUUUAAUCCUGGCCGUUGGAUAUACAUCCGAUGAACGACUAUAUGUUAUUAAACCGGUAUUGUCAUACGUAUGUUGGGAUCUAAACCUUUCUGCUUUUAUUCAAGUUUUACAUAGUCCCCGAACAAUCCAUGUUAUUAAUGUUGGUGGUGACUGUCAUACGUAUGUUAGGAUCUGAACCCUUCUGCUUUUAUUCAAGUUUUACAUUGUCUCCGAACAAUUCAUGUUAUUAAUGAUGAUGGUACACCAUGUAAUCCCUCCGUCUUUUUUUUACAAUUGUUCAUUUAACUUUCAAUUAUUUUGUCAAAAAAAAACCUUUCAAUUAUCAAUUUAAUUAUUUUUUAAUUAAAACUUAAACAUAAACUUUUUAAUAUUAUAUCUUAAAAUAAAUUAUGUACUUUAUAAUAUUAUAAUUAUUUAAAUUUUUUAUAAUAUACUCCCUCCGUUCCUAUAUAUUAGACGUUCUUUGACCUAGUUUGAAUUCGUUUUUAAUAGUCGUUUUGUAUUUUCAAAACACAGCUAUUACUGUCACCUACUUAUAUUCUUGUUUUCACGCUAUGUCAUUUAUUAUUAUUUACAGUUACCUACCCACCACCUAAUACGUGAGUAUUCAUCUUCUCCCCAUCCUAUAUAUAAAGGACACUGUGUAUAUUUUGUUUAUACAUUCAUAUACAUUAUUCUAGAUUAUCUUGUUUAUUUAAACUUUUUACAGCACUUCUUAUUGAAGAUGGAGAAAAGAGAAAAGGCCAAAGAGGAAAGUAAAAGCAUCAACAAUUUGGAAAAAGGUGUGAAUCAAAAAAUCAAAUUUGAUUUGAAUGAAUUUCCUGAAGAUGAAACUGAAGUUUCUAGUCACCCGGUUGUGUUUAUGAUGUGGAAAAAAUAUUUUCCUAAAUUUCUAUGUUGUUUAGGAAGUAAUUCUAACUAGUUUGAGAUAUCAUUGGAAGUAUAUUAUGAUUUGUAAUGGAGAAUGUUUUAUGUUUAGUGAAAUAUAAUUGGAUGUUUGCUUUUCAAAUUAUAUUUCUUUUAUUUGUAAUUUGUACUAAUGUGCAAUAUUUUUUAAUUGUAAAUAUGAAGAACAUAUAUAAUUAAAUUAAACUUUAACAAGAUCCAAAAAUUUUGUUUAGAUUAUAUUUCACAUAAAACACUUAAUACAUGAUCACAAGCUUUUUAUAUUAAAAUUUUAAUUUUUAAAACAAUCUUCAAUGUGAUUAAAAAUUAGCAUCAUUUAUAUAAAAAAAAACUAAUGUAAAAGCCAAAAUUUAGAACAUAUAUAAUUCAAUUAAAUUUUAACAUUAGUAAGAUCCAAAAUUUUUGUUUACAUUAUAUUUCACAUAAAACACUUAAAACAUCAUCACAAGUUUUUUAUAUUAAAGUUUUAAUUUGUUAAAAAAAAUCUUUGAUUUGAUAAAAAAAUAGCAUUAUUUAUAAAAAAAAUUAAUGUAAAAGCCAAAAUUUAGACUUUGUACAUACUUGAUAGUUAUAUAUGACUAAUUAAUUUAGAGUUGAAUAUAUAAAGUUGUACAUAUCAAAACAUAUAUAAUUAAAGUAAACUUUAACAAGAUCCAAAUUUUUUGUUUAAAUUAUAUUUCUCACAAAACACUUAAAACAUCCUCAACAAGCUUUUUAUCACAUUUUAUCUGACGAGGGAGUUGGCCCUGUCUUUCCAAAGCUGUUUUGCUCAUAUGUGGAAUUUUAUACCUAUUUGACCCUCCCACUUUCAUAAUCUCUAGUUCUCUACCAUGCAUUGUUGUAGAGUUUUUUUUUGAUAAACAGAGAAUUUCAUUAAUAAUGAUAGAGAAACAGAAGCCACUGGAAAAAAAGGACCUAAAACAUGCAACACAGCAACUACAACUGGAGAUACUACCUGACAAAUACUACUACCGACACAUGACCUUGACCUGCUAGCUAACCUAGAUAACAGACACUAGAGAAAAGCACACAUGAAUAAGACUAAAGCCACUAGAUGCUAGCUGGGGCGUUCGAAUCUUUGAGUUUCUUCAAUUCUAAAAGCACUUCUUCAACUUCCAUCAGUUCCAGUUUUGGAGAUGAGAAUGAGACAGAGAUUUCCAAGCCCAUAUAGUUGAAAGCAGGAUCCUCUUCCGACUCCAGACGACGCAUUUCUUCUGCAAGAUUCAAACUCUGAAGCUUUUUGCGAGUCAGAUCCUCAAGAAAGUCUUUAACUGAUUUGUCUUUCCGAAUCUGCAUAUCAAGAUCCAUUCCAGCUUUAGCUUUAAGAUUUAGGAUAGAAGCCAGUUCUCCACUGUCAAUAAUCUGGAUUGCUUCUUGAGAGAAAAGACCAUCAUUAUUAAAGCUGAAACCCGAUAGAACUUUUGUUUUGCCUUUGGAAGUCGAGGCACCAGGGUCAAUAACCCCAACCGGAGGCUUAACAGGCGCAAACCUGAAGGCGACUUUCAUCGAAGCAGGAGGGCCUAGGCACGCGCACUUCUCACCAAUAGGACAGUGAUCAGGCACUGAAGAGUGAGGAUAGGGAGAGAUGCGCCUUUUCUUAGGUAAAGGGCUGGGAGGAGAGGGGGGAUCCUCCACUUCUCCAGAAUCGAACUUUUCGAUAUUCUCCACCAUGAAAGCUGGAAGGUAUAACCCCAUAUCCCUCUCAAGAUAAGUAUGAAGAUCUCCAAACAUUCCUGGAGCCUCAACAAACAAAGAGAGAUGCUCCAUCCCAUAGCUUGCCAUGUAGAUAGCAGUGGCAUUCAUUUUUGGGCUGACUAGCGAGAGCCUUUGAGCUGUGAGACCUUCCUCGAAGUGGUUGUUGUGCAAAGAAUUGAACUGAGCUAAUGCUUCCACCAGUUCGUCGACUACCACUAUUUCAUCCUGGAAUCGAAGGACUUCAAAGAUAUCUUGAUUAUCCAAAUCGAUAUGAACACGAUGUUCCUUCCACUUCAGAGCUUCUAUGACACCAGCAUGCAUGCCCCAGAGUAAGGCCUGACCCUCAGUCAUUUCAUUUAGAGGGCCAAGACCACCCCACAGCUUGUCCCCUGCCUUGUUACGAAGGAUUGCCCCUAUGCUAAUCGAGUUUCCAUUGGGGAGAGGGUGAUCAAUCUGAAGGCAAUGAAUGUUUAGUUUAACAUAGUUGGCAUCUGGAGGGCGCCACACAUCAUCCAUGCCUUCAACAGAUUUGAGAAAAAACAGAAGUGAUGCUAAGAGUGAAGGAUAAGAGCUGCUUAAAUAUCUGAACUUUGGAGCAAAUGGCAUCAUGAACUGCACUGGGAAGAGCAAAAAAACGGCGGCCUGCAUGGAGGGAAACCAAAUGUGCAUUGAAAAUGAACAAAGAGAUCCUGGCUUGGGAAAAACAGCAAGCAAAAUAUUUUUCUGCACCACUGUGAUUGGGCAAGCGUCUCCCUAAGCUGUACCACCAAAUAUUAGAAUCCAAGAAGUAAUUAUACUUAAUAGAAUAGGCCUCCUUUAUUAGCAAACGGGCAAAAAAUAGGCAAUAAUAUUCAUCCCGGAGUUGAUCAACCAUUGGUGCCAGAGUUUGAAUUUUCAGCCCAAAAGAAGGAGCCACGAGGCCUGUCCAGGCCCGCUUUUGCAAAGGAGUCUGCAUCCAGAUUUAAUUCUUUUAGACCAUAAUGAACAAAAAUGGAGGAAUUGAUUAAAUGGGCCAAAUUUAAUGGACCUUCAAUCAGAUAAUAUGCUUUUAAUCCAGAGUUGACCAGCCCAAUGGCCUCCACCGAAUCCGAGCAUAUCACUAAAUUUCGGCAUGCAAUUCUAUUAUCCAGAAAUAGCCUAAUUACAUAAAUAAUACCAUCAACCUCUGCUUGCUUGCUUGUCUGAGCGUUAAUUUGCGUAGAAAAGGAGUGAAGAAUGACUGAAUUCCCUUUCCAAAUUUUUCCUCCUAUUGCACCCACCAGAACUUUCGAGGUGUUACAACCCCAGGCCCCGUCUACCGCACACACCAAAUCAAAAUUGUCUGAUUUGAAUUUCCAGUAAUCUUUGUUGACUCUAUAAAAAUAUAAAGCAAUUGCCCCUUGUGGAUUUACAUGCCACAAAGUGUCGUUACCAAAAGAAAUUAUCUUUGAAGAAGAACCCCACUUAUUAAUUCUUGCAAUUAUCAAAUUAGCUAAGGAUUUUGAGCUCAUGCGAGUACCAUUGAACACUUGGUCAUUUCUAGCUAGCCAAAUGGUCCAAAGCACAGCACUAACUGAAAGGUGCCAGAUAGGGGAGGACCUCACAUCUUUAAUGGUAAACAAUAGGGAUUUCAGAGAGAAAUGAUUACGACCUAACAAGCGAGGCUUGCUCCACCAUGAGGAUAGGAAUAGCCAGCAAGAUUUUGCUAAGGAGGAUUUCCAGAAAAAGGUGAUCUAAAUCUUUAGGCUCGAUGUCACACCAAGAACAUCUUUGAUUAAUGGAGUUGAUACGGCAACUCAGGAAAACUUUAGUUGGGAGGAUCAUGCGUUGAAUCUUCCAUAAAAAAAUCAAAACUUUCGGAGGGGCUUUAAUUCUCCAUAAGACCUUCCAGAAACGAUCACGAUCCACUGGUAAGCUUGUAGAAAGACUUAGCCUUGAGAACGAUUUCGUAGUGAAUUCCCCAUUACCUGGGAUCCAGCACAACUGAUCAUUGUUUGUGCAGUCUAGCUAAGUAGCCCAGACUAAGAUAUUAAGAUGGGAAAAUUUUGAUUGGUAAAGUGGAGACUAGAAAUUGAGGUUGAAUAAUUUCCCCACUUCUUCUGAUUUCCAUCGAUCACAGAAUUCUUUAACUGACACAUGUUUUAAAAAACACACCUUAUAGAUGCUGGGAAAUUUGAGUUGUAAUGGCCCAUCUAAGCACAAGAAAUCCUCCCAGAAGUAGGUUGUCCUGCCAUUUCUGACUUUCCACUUAAAACAGAGCCGAGAAAUAAGCGCAGCAGCUGAGUCUAUUGAAUGGAUGGAUUAAAAGCUUUUAAAAAUAUCUGAGCAGUUGGACCUAUUGACUACCCCUGCCAAGUUGUACUGAAUUUGAGGACCAUGAUGAUUUUUUAAAACUUCAUUCCACAAUUUAUUCCUAUCAUGAUAGCACUUCCACCACCACUUUGUUAGUAAAGAUGUAUUUCUAGUUCUAAGAGGGACCAGCCCUAGACCUCCAUCUUGCCUAGGCUUGCAAAUCUCUCCCCACUUAAGACGAUGAAUUUUAUUUUUGUCUGCAGAGGAGCCCCAAAGAAAAUUUCUUCUGAUUUUUUCGAUUUCAUGAAGAGUGGCCGAGGGGAUUGAGUACAUGCCAAACCAAAAUAUAGGAAUGCUAUCAAUGGAUGCCUUCAGAAGAAUUAAUUUUCCAGCCAUUGACAUACCUUCCGUAAACCAUCCCUUCAAUUUCUGCCUUAGUUUGCCUAACAACGGAUCCUAGAAGGCCAAUCGCUUAGGGGAGACUCCUAUUUGAGCACCUAAAUACUUGAUGGGACCUACCCCUACUCGACAAUUUAAAAUAUCAGACCAUUCCAACAUCUUCUCUUCAGGAUCGCCAAAACCAUAGAUGUUGCUUUUCUGAAAAUUGAUCUUUAACCCGGACGUUCCUUGGAAGCAUUGAAGAAUUAUCUUAACCCCUUUUAUUGAAUCUGACUCAUUUUUGAUGAACAUGAUUACAUCAUCUGUGUAUUGAAGAUGGGAAAUGGAUCUUGAGCUAGAAGGGAGAGAAACUCCUUCGAAAAGGCCUAUGGCCUUGGCCUUGGAGAGCAUGGAAGAAAGCACCUCCCCACAGAGGAGAAAUAAAAGGGGGGAAAGAGGGUCUCCCUACCGCAAUCCCCGCAUGGGAGAAAACUCCUCCGUUGGGGAACCGUUAACCAGAAUAGAGAUACGAGACGAGUUGAAUAUGUUCAUAAUACAGUUAAUCCAUCUGGAGUCAAAAUUCAUCUUUUCCAAUACCGAUUUUAUGAAUUGUCAAUUCACCGUAUCGAAGGCCUUGGUGAAAUCAAGCUUAAGGAUGACACCUUCGCUAUUUUUGGCUCUCAGGCUCGCAUACAUUUCCGACAUAAGCAGAAUACCCUCUGUCAUCUGCCUACCUUUAAUAAACACAGUUUGAUUUUCUGAAAUCAACAUGUCCAUAACUCCCCGUAGGCGAGACGCCAGGACUUUAGUCAACAACUUCAUGACACAGUUCAUCAAACUGAUUGGCAUGAAGUCUGUAAUUUGCUUGGCCCCUUUUAUCUUUGGAAUUAAAGCAAUGAAGGAAGAAUUUAACCCCCCUGGAAUGGUGCCUGAGUGGUAAAAAUCGACAAAAAAAUCAAACACUUCCUGUUUUAUUUGGCCCCAUAAUGCUUUUAGAACGCCCAUGUUGAGACCAUCUGGACCAGGGGCUUUAGAGGGACUCAUGCAAUUCAGAGUUGCUUCCAAUUCCUCCAUAGAAAACAUAUCAACCAGGAAGCUUUCACUUUCUUUAAUUUCCAGGCCAAACUUUUCCUACCUUGUAGAGACCAGUUAUGUCUAAGUGUAGACAUCAAUUCAUCCUCCUUCAGCCAACAAUUAAAAAACUUGGAAGGUUUUGGACCCCAAGAGGUAUUACCUGACUUGACUAUUAUCGGUCUAUGGUCUGAGGAUUUCCUAUGAACACCUUGAGAGAACCAAUCUCCAGUGACCAUCCAAGAAGCAUUCAGAAGGCCCCUAUCUAGUCUGCCCUUCCUGCCUUUUGGGCCAAACCAAGUGAAGUCGCAGUUACACAGUUGAAUGUCUAGCAACGAAUUAUCCAAUAGAAAUUUAGAAAAUUCCAUAGAAUCCCUUUCCCUGAAGAUGCAAUUCUCCUUUUCUUGAUCUGACAACACUGCAUUAAAAUCUCCAAUAAGCAGCUGAGGAACAUUUCUUAGUGAGUCUAGCAUGCUCGAAAUUUCGCUUCACAUUCUGGUCUUCUCUCUUCCCUUCUGAGGAGCAUAUACAUUUACGCACAAGAAUUUCUCUCCUGAACUGAUUACUGAUCCAAGCAUCAUUAUCCAAUUCCUGUCAACUUCCAUUGAAUCAAUCUUAACUAGGUUACUAUCCCAUACAGUAAUCAAGCCCCCAGAUAAACCAGUCGAAGCCACUUCCGCCCAAUCAACUUGUUUCCCUGGCAUAAGGGCCAUAACUUCCCUUGGAUUCCAUUUUCCACACUUCGUCUCUUGGAGACACAAGAUAGCAAUAUUUUCUCCUGAAAAAUUAGUCCUAACAUGAUGUCUGUUCACUCCACUGAUUGCACCUCUAAUAUUCCAACUUGCUAUUUUAAGACAAUCCAUAGAAAGCUUGAAUGAUGGAAGGAAAAAACUAUUCAAACACCCAGAUUAUCUCUAAUUAAUUUUAGAGAUGCUUCCUUGUCAUGAAUUGGAAUAAGCCCCAUCAUAAUACCUGUCUCAAAGAUGGCUUGAGCUUCAUCUCUAUUGUCAAUUCCUUUACCUACACAGAUUUUCGGUAGACCCGGCCCUUUAUGAGAGCAUUUUCUCUUAGGGACUUUAAGCGAUUUGUUAUCUCUUUCUUUUUUUGACGAUCUGGGUCUACCUCGCUUAGGCUUAAUCCUCAUUUUUACCAAGUCAUUCAUAAUAGAGUUGGAGACCUCUCCGAUAACUGCUGUAUCAUUGCCUGAGGCAUGAUCUAAAGAGGAAAUCGAGUGAGAAUCCUGUUUACCUGUAAUGGUAGAGUCAGACUCCGCUGCCCUUGGUUUCCAGUUGGCUAUGUCCACAAAGUGCUCGGGAUCUACCUGAGAAUUUUCCUCAGAAGACACCCUUACUAACUCCUGAUUUGUAAGUCUUGAUGCUACCACAUCCAUUUGGGAUUCCUCCACGAAGCUAUUGCCCGAACUUAAAACUGAUUUUGGGGAGACUAUAGCAGUCCACUGUACUUUCCUCAUCGCUUUUUGACGCAAUUUUCCCACUUUUUACAUCUGCUUCUUCAUCCUUGGCCUUCUCAUGAGAUAAAGUUCCUAAUGUGGGAGGGGGAUUACUGAACACUUUAUUCGAAAGGAUAGGAGAAGAACUUGGUCUGUGUACACAAUUCGGGGAAGGAGAUAUGGAAGGCAAAUGAAUCUCCCGAGAGUGAAGACACACCUCAAUUAAUCUAAUUUUUAUGUCUUCUCCAUCCAACAUGAUAUUAAGCUCUAUGUCGAUGUUGGAAUUCUCCCAAGUUUCAAUCAGGAUCAGAGGAUUCCAAUAUCUGCCCGCCUCAUCUUCCCCCAUUUUCCAGUGUACAACUCUACCCACGCCUCCAACUAAUUGUUCCAGAUUCUUCUCAGUCCAGCCCAGUAGAAGAAGUCCUCUAAAUUCCAACCAGCAUUCUCUAGAAACAGUUAAUCGCCCUUUCUGUACAUCUUCCACUUUCUCAAAGCAUAACUCCAGAAGAUCUCUAUCCAGAUGUUCCGUAGAUUCAACCCCAUUAAAAUGAAUGAAGAAAUUCCUCGAACCCAAUUGUUUGACUUCCAAAUCAACGUAACCCAAACCAGAUAAAAUUGUUUCCACUCUUUGUGCCUUCAUUGGGAUCGCAGAUUCUAUCAAUAAGCUGGAUUUCAGUUGAUCCGCAAAAAUUUUAUCGGAAUACAGACAAAUAUUCUCCGAGAUAAUAAUAUUCAACUUAAAAUAAUAUUCAACUUAAAAAUAUUAAGGUCAAGUUAUGUAUACUUCUUUGGAUACAAUAUAUACGAUCAAGUAUAUGUUUAAUAAAAAAAAAUGGUUAAGUUGAGAGUAAUUAAAAAGGUCUUUUCUUUUUAAACUCAAAGUGCUUAAGAUUUCACAAGUAUUCUUUUUCUUUUUAAAUUCGUAUUUUCUACAAAUAUCACUCAUAGUAAAGAUAUAAUCAUUAUCAAAUUAUAUCAUUUAAAAUUUUAAACCUACUUCAUAUUUUAAAAUUUUCAAUUCAAAUAAAAGUAUAAUGGAUAGUUUUUAGACCAAAUAAAUGAGAAGUGAUUAAUAAAAGGACUUUUUGAGCCUGAGAUUAGGGGUUGGGUUUUAACCUAGGAAUGACAGAACUUUCCGAACUGCGGAUAUCCGACUGAACUGAUCCGAAUGCUUUUUACAGAACUCAGUUUCUUGUGUAUAAUAUUUAUGUUCAUUUAUUUUUAAUAAGCUAUUAACAAAAGGUUUUUAAAAAGCUAAAUUAAUAACACUUAACUAAUACUUCAAAAAAAUUGAGCUUCUUUUUUAAUCAUGAAUUAUUGUAAUUGCUAAUUUAUUCAUACAUAUAUUAAUAUGUUUGUAAUAAUUUGAGUAUAUAUUAAUUUUUAAAUAAAAAACCCGUUUAUACACCUAUAUUUUAGAUAUAUUAUUUAAUAUUUUUAUAUAAUUUUGGGGUUUCGUAUGGUUCGAGUUAGGGGUGAACACGGGUCGGGUUGGCCGGGUUAGGGACAAAAAUUCAACCCAACCCAAUAUAAUCGGUUUAUGAAAACUCGAACCCGUUAACCCUGAAAAAUAUUUUCAACCCAACCCUAUUAUUCACACAUCGGGUUGGUUUGGGUCGGGUCGGUUUGUCGGGUUUUAUUCAUUGUUUGGUAUAGUAUUUGGGGCUAUAGAUAGUAUGGUGUUUGCGGUGGCAGUAGCAACAGAGCCAAUGUUUAUAUAGAUAAACAAUGUUUAUAUAGACAAACAUUGUAGAAAAGAGAGACAAAGUGUAUGUGACCACUGACCUGGAACUUACAAGGCUACUACAUGUGACCACUGACCUGGAACUUACAAGGCUACUACAUCAAUAACAGAAAUCCCAAAACAACAUUUGCAUAUUAAUCUAAGGAUGGUUACAAACUUAUAAGAUGAAAAUAUUAUUCUUUAUUUCCUAGUAACUUAAACGGGUUGGGUUGGUUUGGGUGAGGGUUAAUAAUUUAAAAACCCUAACCCAACCCAAUUAUAUUCGGGUUGAUAAAAAAUGAACCCAAUAAUUUUUCGGUUUUGAACGGUUCGGUUUGUUCGGCCGAAAUAAGGGGCGGGGUGGGUCGGUUUUGCGGGUUAAACGGUUUUUUGUUCACCCCUAGUUCGAGUUUCGUUCUUGAACUUCGUUUCGGUUCAUACUUGGUUUUGAAAAACACUAUUGAAUUAGGGUUUGAUUUUCGUUAAAAUCCAACUCUAGUGAUCAAUUGCCACCCCUAUUUCAACCUAGUAGUGCCUACCUUGUUGAAAUAUACUACAUCUUUAACAACAAUGUCAGACGACUUUGAAUCCUUGGGGCUGAGCUCAAACAUAAUAGAAGGAUGUACUCGUAAUGGCUACAAUCGUCCUUAUCGUUUACACCAGGAUGUGAUUCCCGGCAUUCUUUCCGGGCGGGAUGUUGUAGUAUUGGCUCCAUCUUGUUCCGCCAGAAUUUUAUCUUUUGUGGCUCCUUUACUUGACAAGUUGAAUAGGCAGCCGAGUAUUAAUUCUAUCAGGGCAUUGAUUCUUACUCCAACUAAAGAUUUGGCACUUGAGAUUGUGAAGAUUGUUCGAGUUGUUGCUCAGUUUACAGGUCAGAUUUAUAUAUAUGUCUUGGUGCUGUUUUUUUUUUUUUUUAAUUGUGUGAUAAUAUAUAUGUCUAUGCUAUUAUAUUUCUUGUUUUAACUUAAAGAUUGGAUCUUGAUUGAGAAAUUGUUGUUUUUUUAGCUUAAAGGUUGGAUCUUCAUCUUUAAAAUUGAUGUUUUUGUCACUGCCGAAAAAUCCCACUUUUGUCGACAAAUUAUAGCCAUAGCUACUUUAGAAUUAGGAUUGGAUUUUCCGGCAAGAACUCUAUGAUUAACUGUGCAUGUUUUUUUUUAUUAUUAAGAAGUUAUAUCAGGGCAUUGAUUCUUACUCCGAGUAAAGAUUUGGCAUAUCAGAUUGUAAAGCUUGUUCGACUACUUGCUCAAUUUACGGGUCAGAUUUAUUUAUAUUUUUGAAACUGUUUGUUCUUGUACACUUCGGCUACAUAAUCUUAAGCCUUUUGCUUUAGAUAAUAACAAUAUUUUGUCAUAUCUAAAUACUUAUCUUUCCAAAACUAAGACCUGGAGUUAAAGUCAUAUAACAGCAGUUCAUAUUACUAUUCAAAUUUCGACUGAGUGUUUGAAAUCCAAAUUUGCAAAGUUGCAUAUUCUGAGAGCAAAUAGUCUUUCCGCAAGGAGAGAAUUAUAGUUCUGAGUUUGCUUCCCAUUUCUUAUUUUCCUUUUAGUUUUAUGAAGUGCACAAGUCUUUUUAUAUAAACUUGUUGAUGAUAUUUCCCAUUCCGCUAGGUCUUCGCAUUGGUUUACUAGUUGGCGAUAAUAAGACAGAGAGUCUCUUUGAGGAAUUGACACUGCAGAACCCUGAUGUUAUGAUUGCAACUCCAGAUAACCUGAAAGGUCAUUUGUCUCACGUUAAAGAUAUGUUAUUGCAUAAUGUGGAAUGCAUUGUUCUUUAUGAAGUGGAUUGUCUUCUCAGCCUGGGAUUUGCAAAACAUCUGCGUCAAAUACUGUUCCAUAUUAAUCAAAAACACCAAACUUUGCUUUUCGUUAAAGAGAUACCACAUGAAAUACCACCUGCCCUUGUCUAUUUCUUCAAAUCUGUUACACAAGACCCUGCCAUUGUGCGCCAUCAUAGUCAAAUAAGAAGUACUUUGAAGCUUAUAUUUUUCACUUUGAGCGAGGAAGAGAAAAGUGCGGCUGUGCUGUAUUUAAUCAAUGAACGUAUUCGAUGCGAUGAAAAGACAUUGCUGUUUGUUCCUACAGAAGAUCAUGCUGAGUUUCUUAAACUUAUGUUUAUGGAUAAGGGUAUUGAGCCAUCUAUAUGCUAUCGUAAUAUGGACAGAGAUGAACGCAUACUUGAGGUAUCAAGAUUCAAAGAAGGAAAAAGUAUGCUGCUGAUCACUACGGACGUAGCGUAUCAGAUCAUGAUAACCCCGUUGGCUGAUAACGUUAUCAGUUGGGACUUCCCUACCCCUAAGCGUUUCCUUUUUCGAGUAAUGAAAACUGCAAUGCAUGGUCCGGGCACAGCAUAUUCUUUUGUAACACGUGAGGAUAUUCCCUAUGUUCUGAAUUUUCGCUUCUUUCUCUUGGAAGAGCUCACGGCUGCUCCUGCUCCCACUGAGGAACAGAUAAUGCGAGAUGCCGAUAUGUUGGAAGUUGUUUCCGAAAUUGAUCAAGCAAAUGCGAGAGCAGGAGAUAUUUUAUAUGGUAGAUUGCCGCCAAUAAAAGCUGACAUUUAUGCUGAUAUUGUUCGUAAAUUAUUGGAUGCUUCACCGGAAUUAAAAUCAAUGGUGCUGCAGCAGUAAAUGUGCUAAUAAAUUAUAAACGUGAGCAUGGUGUGCACUAUUUUUAGAAAUGCAAAGGAGUUCUGAGAUGCCAUAUGAACAAAUUGAAUCCCGUUACCCUUUAAGAUUUUCUUUUUCUGCAAACUUCGUUACCAUUGUACAAGCUAUGUAUAUGUUUUUGUUGUGUAAAAUACUUUGGUGGUUGCUCUAUUUGAAUUAAAAUUAAAUUAUAAGCACUCAUUUUUGUUUGAUAUACUUUCUCUUCUCUCUUUUUUUCCCCUUUCCUUUUGUUGCAUUCUAAAUUAAAGAAAAUUGGUUCAACAAUUCCAUUACUCAAUUGGGCCUAUAUGGUCGAUGUUAGAAGUCAAGUUCUAUAUCAAGGGCAUGUUGGAAUAUGAAAUGAAAUAGUUGGAUCUGUGUAUGUUAAACAUAAAUUUAGAAAUUACCAGAGGGCAGAGCUGCAGAGGAAGAAAACAUUUGGUACACACUUGAGGAAAAAAGGCUUGUAAAAUUAUCUAUCUUUUUCUUUGGCUGUUGAAACUACAUGUAGUUAUACAGUUUUACGGCUAUGUGUACAUGUGUAGGAUCGAAGAUGUACAUGUCCAGCGGUACUUUGAAAUGAUAAUAUCUUCCAUGUGUAUAUGAAUCUUACUUCGAAUCUUCCAUGUGUAUAUGAAUCUAACUUGGAAUUACAUAAAGGAUAAAUUACCAAAUGAGGUUGUGCCGAUAAGAAUUAUAUAAAGAAUAAAUUACCGAAUGAAGUUGUGCAAGGAUAAAUUAUCAAAUGAGAUUGUGCCGAUAAGAAUUAUGUAAAGGAUAAAUUAUCGAAUGAGGUUGUGAUGAUAAAUAUUAUGUAAAGGAUAAAUUAGCGAAGAAUUUACCUUCGAUAGAUAUAUGACAGAAGUGAAUUAUAAUAUUAAUUAUAUCGGGAAAAAUUCUGCAAAUACAUUAAUUAUAUCAUAUUGGAAAUAGAGUUUUUAUUAAAAAAGAAUCACAUAAAAAUGAAUUGUAUACCGAAAAAAAAAUUAAAUAUCACGUUUUCAAAAUGUAGCUAUAAGUAUCACAUUAAAAUAUAGUGUUAGGCUUAUACAAUAAAACGCUACACAAUAUAAAAUUUAAAAAAUAAAUUAUACAGAUUUGGACUUUAAACAUCAAAUAAAUUAAAAUUACCUCGUUAUAUCAUCUUAUGUGAGUGUUACACAUAUUUGUAAUUAUUUUUCUAUGAGUUUUAAAAAACAAAUAAGCGUUACAAAAUACAGUGUUUCUUUUUUUAUAUAUAUAAAAAUAAAUUAUAAACAUUAAAUAAUAUAAUAUUAUCAAAAUAAUAUUUGAGAUCAUAUUUCUGAAUAUGAUAUUUGAAAUAUUAUUAAUUAAAAUUGUGAUAUAUAUAUAUCCAUCAAUAAUAUAAUAUAAAGUUUCAAUUAUUGGACAGCAAGCCCCUCCAAUAAGAUAAAAAGUUUCAGUUAUUGGUUAGUGAAGCUGCUCAGUGCUCACUCCAUUACAUUUACUUGUCGACAGAAGUUUAGUUAGUAAAGCAACAGACACGAGAGUCUUGAGCCUCAGCCCUCUAAAGGUCGAUCCAGCAGCUUGUAAGCUAGUAGUAUAUUGUUCAACUCCUUUGUAUAUUGUUAAUGCAUGUGUAUAUGAUCAUGAUCUAAAUCUCACUUGCUUGAAGUCACUUUAGUUCACUUGUUCCUAGGUUUCUGAAUCUACUAGUUUUGUCUUCUGUCUUUCUUUAUGUCUAUUACUUAAAAAUCUGCCUAGAUGAUCUGGGUGUGUUGAUGAGUUGAAUAAGUCCUUUUUAAUAUGACCCAUUUACCUAGGUUUAGUUUAACAUUUUUUAUUUUAUUAUUUGAUCAUAGUGUUCCUCACUAGACACUACAAAGUACAAAUGAUGUGUGCAGUUUGUAUAAUUUAUGUACAUGUAUUUUAUUGCUAGGAAUGUUAGUAAGAACAUGUGUAAAUUGUAAAUUUGUAAUAUAUUAUAAAGUUGUUUCAACUCUCUUAAAUUUAUGGUACAUGUGAAUCAGUUUCGGUCACGGGAAAUGUUGCAAGUUGAGGUUAUUUAAUCUGAAGGGGGAACUUGUUUUGGGGACGAGGAAAAAUGGUCCCUUAAUCUGUUGAAGAAUGUGGUGAAAUUGAGUUUAUAUGAAUGAAUAUUGCAUAACCGAACUUAAGGGGUUUAGCCUGGUGCUAAUAGCACCACUCUCCGGUGACAAAGGCCGUGGUUUAAGUUCCUCUUCCUCCCCUGUACUUGCUAAAACUAUGUAACUUAUCGAGAGAUAUAUUGAAUGAUAGCCCUUCUCUUGAUGACAAAACCAUAUCUCUUAAAGAUUAAUUUCAUACUGUUUGGGAAUAUAUUAAAUACUGACACAAAUAUUGUUUGGAAUUAAUUGUGAGAUGUAAACCUGGUAGGAUUCUGGUAGAGUUGGUUCAGAUUUCUUUUCUUUUUGAAAUCAGGGUGAAUAAUUCGCUUGCAGAAAAAAAAUGCAUUUAAGAAUAUUAUUGUAAAGCUAUUUUAUUGCUCAAUCUUGCUUUGUUUGACAUUUCUUUUUCUUUGAAAUUUGUAUAGAGUAAAUACAUACGAGAUGUGCUCAAAAUAGUGUUUGUUCAACAUUUAUAUAAUUGGAUAGGUUUAAGAUGAGUUGCUAUUGGGGACCAGAGGAUAUUCACGACUCCUUGGCAGCACCUUUACUUUUAAUUUUUGACCAUUAUUAACAGUCUAUAUAGAUUAUAUGUUUUCAAUCUCUUAUCCUUCAACUUUAAAAUUCUGUAUAUUCCACUAUUUGUCAAUCGCUUAAUUUUAAGAAAUUGUUGUGUUGGCAGUUUGCUAUAAUGAGCGUACAUCUGAGGAACUGACUGCUUUUGUGACAAAUUUCUUGUCUCAUCACCUAGUGAUUCUCUUUGUUCUGUUAGUGGUUUCUCUUAUUCGGGGUUUCAUGUUAAGUAUAUGUGUUAUGUAUUUGCAUGUGCUUUAAUUUAAUAAGAUUUAUAGUGUGUGUAUAUUUUCAGUUUAGGUUACACAAAUACACCUGCAAAUAUUUUGCCAAUUUACGCAAUUAUUCAUUAGGAUGAUUAUACAUAAAUCAGGUGUGCCACUUUCUGCUUGUUAAUAACCCAAGUAGAUGCAUUCAUACUCAUUCUCUCCGUAUCAGUAAAACCAAGUACUAUAAAAUGGCCACCGUUAGCUUAAAACUCCUUGUAGACAACAGCACCGGGAAGGUAAUCUUUGCUGAAGCGGGGAAAGAUUUUGUGGACUUUUUAUUUGGACUGCUAGAAAUUCCACUAGGAUCUCUGCUGAAUCUUCUAGACGGGGAGGGGAUGUGUAAAUCCUGGACAUUGAGCAAAGUCUACCAAAGUGUGAAUAAACUUGGCAAUGAAUACUUACAGACCAAUCAAACGAAGCAGAAUCUACUGAAUCCUGCCAUGCCUGAAUCAAACACCAAAGCUGCCCCUUUUAUUCAACAAUUGGGAUAUCGGAAGUCACAAUGUUCAUCCAGUUCUUUUGUCUUUGGAAAAAAUGUUGAUAAGACAGAAGUGGAUGGGUAUGUUAAAGGAUCAGUGACGUAUAUGAUUUCAGAUGACCUCACAGUGAAGCCCCUGUCCUGCAUUUCUUGCUUAAGUCUUAUCAACAGUUUAGGUGUCAAAGACAUUGGUACUCUGGAAGAAAAGAUUGUGAACAUCG